RNAcentral lists this microRNA (21 nucleotides) under Spodoptera frugiperda (fall armyworm). RNAcentral's name for it is "sfr-miR-10508b-5p". Lineage: Eukaryota; Metazoa; Arthropoda; Insecta; Lepidoptera; Noctuidae. The record is from miRBase by way of RNAcentral.
AACAGCAUUUCGUGACACACA